Molecule: long non-coding RNA, 36211 nt
Filed under: Sorghum bicolor (sorghum)
Lineage: Eukaryota; Viridiplantae; Streptophyta; Magnoliopsida; Poales; Poaceae
Description: long non-coding RNA (SBIC_LNC017723)
Rfam family: Plant small nucleolar RNA R71 (bases 16161-16267)
Source: RNAcentral
CAGGGUCCAGGGGGUCUGGUUUUAUAGUCCCUUCAAGUGAAUAUGGGCCCUUGGAUCAAACCGACAUAGAUUGUAUGGUUUAGAUUCAUCCUUUAGGUCGGUGGAGAUCUCCCGCAAAGCAGAGUCCUGAUUGGACUCAGGAGGUGGGUGGGCGCCCUAACCAACUGGGCGGCCGCCCAGGGUCUGGCCCCGUUUCGCCUCCGCUUCGGUCUUGUGGCUUCUGGAGUCUUCUAGAUGUAAGAUAAUUGCGCAGCACGUUAAUAUCUUUACGUAAUCCCGACAUGUGGGCCUUUCUUCCGUAUUUCCUGAUAACCCCCUGCAGAAAUAGACAAACACCAAAACUCGCGGAAUUCUGUCAGAUAAAACCCUAAGUCUAGAUCUUAAUUUCAUUUGGAUCCUUUUCUUUAUUUAUUUGAUAAUUAAAUUUGAUACUUAAGGACCGUCAACAAACUCCCCCAAGCUUACCUCUUGCUCGUCCCUGAGCAAGGAUAGACUCAGCAAUGGAUCAUAUGUUGUUGCAAUAUUUUUAAAAAAUAGACGGUACACAUGCUUUUAAAUAAGAUCUCAUCUCUGAGUUAGAGUAAACUAUCAAGACUUAAAACUUACUUACUUUACCUCCACCAUGGGACUUGUAACUGUCACUUCCGUCUUGAGUGGUUAAAAGAUAGAACAGUCUAGCCAAGUGCCAUGUCUCUUAUUCUUGAUCAGCUAUAGCUCUGGGGUUUUUUUGCAGAUUUUCAAAUAAAACUCAGAGAUUCCUUGUAUGAUUCUCUCAGGUCUCUCUUUUGUGGUAUUUUUGGAUCCUUACCAAGGCAUUGAUGGUAUAUGCCUUCUCUCAAGAUAUGUAGUAUUUGUGGUAUAAGGCAUAGUGACAUUGCCUUCUCUCUCACCCUACUCUAAUAAGGCUUUAAUAUCUGGAGCUCAUAGGUGGGAGAUAAAGUAUACAUACUCACAAGACAUUUAUUGCAUAGUCAAACCAUGGAUCCAAAGAAACAAAUCAAUAAGCCAAAUCAAGAUGUGCAUGUGUGGCGAAUGAAUGGUGUAUGGUGAUGAUGGUGAUAACAAUGGUGAAAACAAUGGUGGUGGAAGUCUAAUUCUACUUUUCUCUUUUGAGGGGAUACAUACCUUCCUUGCUUUUGAAACUUUAUGAGGAGAAUGAGAUGCUCUUCUUUUUCUUGUCUCUCAGGUGGGUAUCUUGCACCCCUAAUUCUACUGUCGGACACUUGUCCAUUUUUACCUCUCGUCUCACUCUUUCUUUUCUUUCGAGGUUCCGAGCACUUGCUCCUUUUUAUUUCCUCGUAUAUUUUUUUUAUUUUCUUCUUUUUUUAGAGCACUCAUCUCUUGAGAUAAUAUAGCUAGUGGUAGUGUCGGUGUUUUCCCCACGGGGGGUCACACCAACGAGUAAAUUUGUAUGCGUGCUCCCUUUCCCAGAUGGUGAUGCAAGAAGACACAGGGAUUUAUACUGGUUCGGGCAAGAGAAGGCCCUACGUCCAGCGGGGGGAGGAGAGUUUGUAUUAUCUUACACCUAAGUGCUUGUACAGGGGUGAAUACAAGCGUGGUAUGAAGUGUGGAGCUCUACUACGUAUGAGCGUGGUCUUGUGUCGUGAUGUCCCCGUUGUUCUAUUCCUGAGUCCCUCCUUUUAUAGUUCCAAGGAGAGACCCAAGGUACAUGUAUAGGCGUCAGAAUAGAAGUCGAUAGCAGUAUGGAGCGCUAACCUACUCGAGGCUUCCGUACCGGCAUGGCCUCGAGCCGUCCCGUCUUAAUAGCCUGGUGAUGAUUACGCGUGCCCCUGCAUUCUGCUCUGCGCGCCGUCUUGGAUUGGUUCGACGGGUGCACGCUUGUAUGAUCCGGCGGCAAAUCCGGCGGAGUGGUUGGGAUGUAGCCAGUCGACGCCCAACCCGUCCCCUGGAAGGAUCUCUGUCUGGUCGAGGGUCAGAUGCCGUACAUUGUGCUGAUAUCUGGAGCGCUGACUUUAGACGUCUCGAGGGGGUCCCGAUUAGACGUCCCAUCCUUGUUUCCCGCGCCCUGUCGUGCCCUGGGUCGUUCGGCGGGAAGGCUGCAAAAAGAUCGAUGGGACGGAAACCUGUUCCCUAUCACGCUUCCCGUGACCUGUGUGUUAGGUGGGGAAGCAUCAGGCGCAUUUAAUGCUCCGGCCCGCGUGCGCGCGUCAGGCGGCGGGCGGCGUCCUUGCGCUCGACGCCCCCCGGUUCGCGUGAGCCUGUUCCGUAUUCGACGGUAACCGGCACUCGACGCCUGAUCGAUUCGCUCGACGCUAUUUCUGUCUUCGAGGUUGCGGCCGUCGAUGGCGGCGCAUACGUAAGAUUAGAGCGUCGAAUUGAGGGCCUCGACCUGCGUACGGGCAAUCUCGUAAUGCACAUCGCUGAGGGUACCCCUUACCGAUACCCUCGACAGUAGCCCCCGAGCCUCCAUUUGAGCGCUAGCGCUCGAGUGGAGGCUUUGUUUUGCGGUCGAAUUUCCGUGGGGGCGCGCGAGCGACCCCGCGGGGGUAGCCCCCGAGCCCUCGGAGGAGUUUUUGACUCCUUCGAGGGUUAUGUUGUCUAAUUCGCAGAAGCGCUUUCGACACCAGUGGUAGAAGGUUCUGACUGGCUCGUUUUGCCCGGGGGUUUCGACGUACUCUCGAUAGAGCGAGCGUCUUCCUCCCCAAAUUGAGUUCCUGGCGGGUAGUCCAAGUGAGAACCUGUGCCCCUUUCGAGGGGGUCAGCUGUAGCCCGGAGGCGUUCUCAUAAAGCGGGAUCGACGUGGUCGGGGAUACCAGUCUCAUUCGGUAGAGACCGGCGGUUCGAUGCCUCCCGUCGGGGGGAUUCCUCUCGACUGUCUCGACCCUACCUUGAACAUCGCCAGCGAGUCCUCGAGGCGGGCCUCGAUCUUCGACCGCUCGCUGGGGAUCCCUGACUCUGGCGCUCGAGAUCGGCUGUCGAACCCUUUCGGCGGGCCAGCCAUCGACCUCUCGAGACUCUCGCGGCUACGUCCCUUGGCUUAUGAGGGAAGGAAGUGGCCGUGGCGGUUCGCCUUUCUGCCCGUUGGGCGCGCCUUUUUAGGCGGGUGACGUUACGACACUGCAUCGGCGUGGGAUUCGGGGUGCCACGCCUGCGUGGGAAAGAGACGAUUAGGUGGCGCAUUUAAUGGAGGGAGUUACCUUAUUUCUCGGAUCUGUCCGUUGGCGGACUGCUGCCUAUAAAUACGUCGUGGCGUCGCCGCCGUUCCUCUCCCUUCCGCCUUCUCGCUUUUAUACUCUCGUUGCCUUUGUUUUCUCGCUGCCUUAGCUCUCUCGCCGUCUCACGCGCACACGCCACCUCGAGCCGUAGCGAAUCCACCGUCCCUCCAGCCGAGAUGCCUGUAAGACUCGUUGCCGCCGACGACUGGCGCCCGUCGUCGAUGACGGAGCGCCGGUUGUUAGAGCUUGAGAAAGAGGGACUGCUGCGCCGCCGUACCUCACUAUCGUCGCCAGAGUGGAUCGCGCCGCCGGCGAGUCACAGGGGGCCUCAGCCGCCCGAGGGCUACGUGGUGUCGUUCGCCAAGUUCCACCGCCACGGCCUGGGCGCGCCCCCGAGCCGCUUCAUGCGGGCCCUCUGUUUCCAUUAUGGGGUGGAGCUCCAGCACUUCUCUCCAAACGCCAUCACCGUAGCGGCGGUCUUCGCCGCCGUGUGUGAGGGCUACUUGGGGAUGAUGCCGCACUGGGAGCUGUGGCUCCACCUCUACAGGGGCGAGCUUUUCCACGCCCCCACCGGAACCACGGGCGUAAGGAAGCCCGUGCGAGCGGGAUGACUCAAUCUGGUGCAGAGGACGGGGAAGACGGACAGGCCGCGGGAGUACAUCCCGGUAGGGUUAUCGACCAACCACGCCGGCUGGGACUCCCAGUGGUUUUACCUGCGGAACGAUGACAACCUCCUGCCUUCCUACUCGGGCCGUCUGAUCAUGGAGCGUCCAGCGGACUGGACAUACGGCGUCGUCCAAGCUCAUCAAUGUCGGCUCGACCCCCUCCUCGACGCCCUGAAGAAGCUUCGCCAGGCGGGUUUGACCGCCGCUCUCGUCCUCUCGGCCGUCCAUCACCGGAGAGUUCUCCCUUUGAUGUCUCGCCCGUUGAGGAUGGACGAGAUGGGCCCUGGCGUCUCAUCUCGGGACCUCGAGGCGUGUCGGAUGUCCAACGAGGCUCCGGCGGACGACGAAGUCGUGGCCCGAGUCAGGGCUGCAAUUGCCGGUGAUUUUCAGUCGGAGCACGUUAGCGGCUUCCCCAUGAGACGAGACGCAGGCUCGAUCGAUCUGGUACGCUUUCUUCUUUUUUCGAGGUGUGCUUAGUUUUUCCUAAGGUCUCUUGUAUUGGCCUUUGCAGGGCUCAAGGACGAACUCCUGGCCGCCCAAGGAGAGGCUCGCAACGCCAAGGCUCAGCUCGAGGCGGAGGUUGCUUUGAACCGUCGAGUUCAGACGGCGAUAAGUGAUCUCUCGACCUCUUGGGAGGUCGAGCCCAUGGAUGAGUCGAGGGAGGGCGCUCGAGGCGACGCCCUGGUCGACCAGCUGUGCUACACAGGCGCGACGCUGCGAGAUCGGGUGCGGGAUGCCCUCCACAUUGGGGUGAAGCGGGCGAUGGCGGUUGUCUGCUCGGGCUUCUCCUACGACAUGGAGGUGGUGUCUCACGGCUUCGUCACCGACAUCUCCAAGACCGACGCGGAGAACGAGGAGAGGCUCCAUGCCUUGAUCGACGACGCGGAGGCUCCUGGGGAAAGGCUGGCUAAGCUUUUUGAGCCUGAGGUGCUUCCUCCUGAGACUAGCUUAGGCGGAGGCAUGGGCGGUGAGGAUAGUGCCGCGGACUGAGGCCUGCGAGCUUGCUCAGGGCGCCUGGGGCCCCUUGUAUGAUAUUUUAUUAAUUCUGUUGCUAAGUGAUACAGUGUCUUUUUGUAAUUGUUAAAUGCUUAUUUGUCUUUCCGCUCGAGGUCCUUUUAUUUCUCUUUGUUCCUACGUUUGUACCCCCUGCUCGAUCUUUCGUCAGAAACAACCUCGAUCACCUCAAUGGUGAGGAAGUGAGUAGAGUUUCCGAAGCCCGGGGGCGUAGGAGUUCUCCGGCUCGUUGUCCCUCGGCCUUUGAGGGGCUCGAGGCGCCUGUGCUACUCGAACCGUGCAAGGUUUACUAAAUAGGAAAAGAAAGUUUCUUGGCUUUGUCGACGCUUGGGGGGGGUCGUCCCCCUGGUAGCCCCCGAGGGGGUGUUGACUAUGAUGGGUCAUGGUCGGCAUCCCCUUUUAACGUCGAGACUAUGACUUGUAGCUUUUUUUUUGGGACAAAAAGAAGUCGCUCGAGGGAAAGACUUUAUUUAUUCAUGCGUUCGUUUACAAAGUCUUGGUACAAAAUGCAGGAACGUAAGUUUAGGACUUCUAGGGGUAGAAUCGACGUAGCUGUUCGAUGUUCCAUGCGUUGGUGAAGAUUGCCCCCUUUUCAUCCGCCAACUUGUACGUUCCCGGCUUCAGGACCUCGGCCACCACGUACGGGCCUUCCCAAGGCGGAGUCAGCUUGUGGCGUCCUUGAUUGCUUUGUCGGCGUCGUAGGACAAGAUCGCCCACGUUGAGGUCCCUCUUACGCACGUGCUUGUCGUGGUAGAGUCGGAGUUUUUGCUGGUAUCUGGCAGAGUUGAGGAUGGCCAUGUCUCGAGCCUCCUCGAGUUGGUCGACCGCGUUUUCUUGAGUCUCCUUGUUGGAUUGCUCAUUAUACGCCUUGAGUCGAGGUGACCCAUACUCGAGGUCCGUGGGGAGGACAGCCUCGGAGCCGUAGACCAUGAAGAAUGGGGUGUACUUCGUGGCCCUGCUUGGCGUUGUCCUUAGACUCCAUAGGACCGAGGAAAGCUCCUCGACCCAUUUCUUGCCGAAUUUCUUCAAACGAUUGUAGAUCCUUGGCUUGAGUCCUUGCAAAAUCAUACCGUUGGCACGCUCGACCUGGCCGUUGGUUCGAGGGUGGGCUACUGCAGACCAGUUCACACGGAUGUGAUGUUGAUCGCAGAAGUCCAAGAACUUUUUGCCGGUGAACAGAGUGCCGUUGUCGGUGAUGAUGACGUUGGGAAUCCCAAAUCGAUGGAUUAUGUCGGUGAAGAAAAGGACGGCCUGCUCGGAGCGGAUGUUGGUGAUGGGUCGAGCCUCGAUCCAUUUGGAGAAUUUGUCAAUGGCCACCAACAAGUGGGUGUACCCUCCUUUCGCCUUUUGUAGAGGUCCUACCAAAUCGAGCCCCCAAACUACAAAUGGCCAGGUGAUGGGGAUCAUCUGAAGAGCGUGGGCGGGCAGGUGCGUCUGCUUGGCGUAAAACUGGCACCUGUGACACGUGCGUACGAGCUCGAUGGCAUCUGCCACGGCCGUCGGCUAGUAGAAACCCUGUCGAAAAGGGUUUCCCACGAGGGUUCGUGGAGGAGCAUGGUGGCCGCAAGCCCCCGAGUGUAGGUCUUCAAGGAGUUUUCGACCUUCUUCCACGGUGAUGCAACGCUGUAAGACCCUCGUCGGGCUUCGUCGAUAUAGCUCGUUGUCUUCGCCAUAUAUCACAUAUGACUUGACCCGUCGAGCGAUACGACGGGCCUCUGACCGAUCUUCUGGCAGCUCGCCAUAGAUUAGGCAGUUGAGGUAUGGUGUGCGCCAGUCGAACGGUCGGCCAAGCUGUCGUUCUACCUCCAUCACUUCAGCCGCCAUCAAGAGUGUGUCGACGGUGUUGGUUGGCUGGGCAGGAGCUGCAUCGACGCCAGCCCCCGAGCCUAAGUCGACGGAUGGCUCGUAGAGAUCUCUCGAGAACGCGUCAGGUGGCACCGUGCCUCGAGUCGAUGCGAUCUUGGCGAGUUCGUCGGCUGCCUCGUUGUAGCGUCGGGCGACAUGGACAAGCUCAAGACCAUAGAAUUUGUCCUCGAGUCGACGGACUUCUUUGCAGUAUACUUCCAUUUUCGGGUCGUGGCAGCUCGAGGUUUUCAUUACUUGGUUGAUGACGAGCUGGGAGUCACCUCGGACGUCGAGGAGUCGGACUCCUAACUCGAUAGCGAUCUUCAGACCAUUGACGAGGGCCUCAUAUUCUGCGACGUUGUUAGAUGUGGCAAAAUGAAUCCUGAUUAUAUACCUCAUGUGGACGCCCAAGGGUGAGAUGAACAGUAGGCCGGCCCCGGCCCCAGUUUUCAUGAGUGACCCGUCGAAAUACAUCGUCCACAGCUCCGCCUGGACCUGAGUCGGGGGAAGCUGGGAGUCCGUCCAUUCCGCGACGAAGUCUACCAGGGCUUGCGAUUUGAUGGCCUUCCGUGGUGCGUAAGUGAGAGUCUCACUCAUGAGCUCGACCGACCACUUAGCUAUUCUUCCUGUGGCCUCCUUGCUCUAGAUUAUCUCACCCAAAGGGAAAGACGUAACCACUGUGAUGGGGUGACCAAGGAAGUAAUGCUGCAGCUUGCGGCGGGCGAGGAUUACGGCGUAGAUCAGCUUCUGUAUUUGGGGGUAACGCGCCUUGGUCUCCGGAAGCACCUCGCUGAUGAAAUAGACUGGCCUUUGGACCGGCAACGCAUGACCCUCCUCCUGUCUUUCAACUACCACUGCCGCAAUGACGACCUGGGUAGUUGACGCGACGUAGAGGAGUAGCAGCUCUGCAGGUUGAGGCGGAACCAGGACUGGCGCCGAGGUCAGCGUAUUCUUCAGUCUUUCGAGCGCUUCCUCGGCCUCGGGGGUCCAAGAAAAGCGCUCGACCUUCUUCAGGAGUCGAUACAAUGGUAACGCCUUUUCUCCUAGUCUCGAGAUGAAACGGCUCAGAGCCGCAAGGCAUCCCGUGACUCUAUGCACGCCCUUGAUGUCUCGGAUCGGCCCCAUUCUUGUGAUGGCCGAGACUUUCUCGGGGGUGGCCUCGAUGCCGCGCUGCGAGACGAUGUAGCCUAGGAGCAUGCCUCGAGGCACACCGAAAACACAUUUCUCGGGAUUGAGUUUGAUCCGGUUGGUGCGUAAGCAGCUAAAAGCGAUCUCGAGGUCCUAGAUCAGGUCUCCUCGCCGCUUUGAUUUGACAACAAUGUCGUCGACGUAGGCCUCGACCGUCGACCCUAUGUGUUCGCCAAAUACGUGGAGCAUGCAACGUUGGUACGUGGCUCCCGCGUUUCGAAGCCCAAAUGGCAUGGUCACGUAGCAAUACAUCCCAAAAGGGGUGAUGAAAGAGGUCCCGAGCUGGUCGGACUCUUUCAUUUUUAUUUGGUGGUAACCAGAAUAUGCAUCAAGAAAAGAAAGGGUUUCACAUCCCGCGGUAGAAUCGACAAUCUGAUCAAUACGUGGCAAUGGAAAAGGAACUUUUGGACAUGCCUUAUUUAGACUAGUAUAAUCGACACACAUCCUCAUUUUCCCAUUCUUUUUCUUAACUAAUACAGGGUUUGCUAACCAGUCGGGAUGAUGAACCUCCUUGAUGAAUUCGGCCGUCAAAAGCUUCUGGACUUCCUCGCCAAUGACCUUGCGCUUCUCCUCAUCGAAUCGGCGCAACCGCUGCUUCACUGGCUUGGAACCGGCUCGAAUCUCCAAGGAGUGCUCGGCGACUUCCCUCGGUAUGCCUGGCAUGUCCGAGGGACUCCAUGCAAACAUGUCGGCGUUUGCACGGAGAAAGUCGACGAGCACAGCUUCCUAUUUGGGGUCGAGGUCAGCGCUGAUCGUCAGCACCUUGCCGUCGGAGUUGUUGGGGUCGAGCGGGAUCUUCUUGGUUCCUUCUGCCGCCUCGAAGCUGCCCGCGUGGCGCUUAGGCUCUGGAGCCUCAGCGGCCAGGGCCUCGAGUUUCGUGACGAGCUCGGUGGAGUUCUCGACCGCCUCCCCGUACUCGACGCACUCGACAUCGCACUCGUACGCGUGCUCGAAAGAAGAACUGACAGUGAUGACGCCUUUGGGUCCUGGCAUCUUCAGCUUCAAGUAGGUAUAGUUGGGUAUAGCCAUGAACUUGGCAUAGCCCGGGCGCCCGAUGAUGGCGUGGUACGUGCCUCGGAAUCCGACGACCUCAAAGGUGAGGGUCUCCUUCCUGAAGUUGGCCGCCGUGCCAAAGCAGACCGGUAAGUCAAUUCGUCCUACUGGCAGUGCCUUUUUCCCUGGCACGACGCCAUGGAAGCCGCCGGCGCUUGGUUGGAGCUUCCCUCUAUCUAUGCCGAGGAGGUCGAGGGUCUCGAGGUAGAUGAUGUUGAGGCUACUGCCACCGUCCAUCAGCACCUUUGAGAGCCGGGUGUUGAUGAUGAUGGGGUCGACGACAAGCGGGUAGACGCCUGGGGCGACUACCUUGUCGGGGUGGUCUUCUCGGUCGAAAGUGAUAGGUGUGCUUGACCAGCUAAGGUACUGGGGCACCACCAUUCUUGCCGUGAAGACCUCCCGACGCUCCCUUUUGCGCUGCCUCGUGGUCAACUGAGUCAAGGGCCCGCCAUAAAUCAUGUAGCAGUCGUGGACGGCGGGGAAGCCGUCGUCAUCUUUGUCGUCCUCCUUAUUGCCACCCUUCUCUUUUUUGGAGUCGUCACGCACAUCUUUCUUGAACCCCAGACCGUCGAAAUGUUUUUUCAACAUGCGACAGUCCUUGAGCUUGUGGUUGGCGCCUCCCUUAUGGUAAGGGCACGGCUCCUCCAGCAUCUUGUCGAAGAUGCCUCCAUCUGGAGGGCCUCGAGGUUUCUUUCGAUCCAUGGCGGCGACAAGGUUGUCAUCGGAAUCCUCCCGGUGGAACCGCCGUUCUUUCUGCUUCUUUUUGUUUUUCUUGAGGCCUUGACUGGGGGUCCCAUCUUCAUCGACGGGCUGCUUGUCUUUUCUCCCUUCAGAGCCGAAGAAGGCGCCGACUGCCUCCUCCCCUGCCGCAUAGUUGGCUACUAUGUCCAUCAGCUCGUCGACGGUCUGAGGUCGAUUGCGACCUAAUUCCCGCACCAAGUCUCGACUGGUAGUGCCCGAGACGAACGCCAAGAUGACGUCGUGGUCAGGGAUGUGCGGCAGCUCAGUGCGCUGCUUCGAGAAGCGUCGAGCAUACUCUCAAAGAGUUUCUCCUGACUUCUGUUUGCACUUGCUGAGGUCCCACGAGUUCCCAGGCCGUAUGUAGGUCCCUUUGAAGUUUCCCUCGAAGACUCUAACCAGAUCAACCCAGUUGUGGAUCUGAUCAGCGGGGAGUUCCUCGAGCCAUCGACGGGCGGUGUCGGAGAGGAAAAGCGGGAGUUGCCUGAUGAUAGCUCGAUCGUCUCCUCGAGCUCCCCCCAACUGACAUGCCAGCCUAAAGUCGGCUAACCAUAAUUCCGGUUUGGUUUCGCCGUUGUAUUUCGCGACGCUGGUUGGGGGUCGAAAUGGACUGGGCAGGGGCGUGCUGCGGAUCGCCCUGCUGAAAACCCGUGGGCCCGGUGGCUCGGGAGCCACCCGAUCUUCGUCGCUGUCGUACCUGCCACCGCGAUGUGCGCUGUAACCGCGCUCUUCCGCGUCCCCGUACCGGCGGCGUCGAUUCUCCUCGAUGUCGUGCCGUGCGUCGUGUCAACGCUGGUUGUCAACAGGGGGAUGAGGGCGGUCUUUCUGCCUCGAGGUGGAGGUUGCUGAUGGACUGACACCUCCUUUUCGUUUUGAGGCUGCUCGUCGCGCUUCUCCGUGGCAGCCCCUCGCCAUCGAGAAGCUGAGCUUUCGGCUUGUUGAACCGCCGCCACCUGGAGCAAUGUCUGUACCUCAUCUUGAAUGCAUCGAGCCUGGGAGUUCGAUGGCUCUGGCAUGUUAUGUAGUAGCAUCGUUGCUGCCACUACGUUCUGGCCUGCUCGAGGGAAACGGCUGACAGGUUGCUCUGGCUCUGCGUCACCGACGAUCUGUCGAUGUACCUCUCGAGCGCGUCUGCGGACACUCCCGCCCGGCGGGUAGGGCAGGUCUUGCUCAAGGAUUUGCUCGAGCAGGACGAGGCACUCGCGGUAUUCGUCGAGCUUCAUCUUGAGCUCCCGCAGCUGCGCGAGCUGCGCGGUUCUGUCUUCCUGUGUAGGGGGGUUGACCUGUCCGUCGUUCCCAGGCGUCCUGGGGUCUUCUCGUGCCACGGGGGCUCGACCGCCCGCAGCAGCAUCCUGUGUCUCGUCGGUAGUUUCUACCGCCCCGUCAACGUGAUAGCAUUCCCUUGUAGGGUCGUAGCUAUCUGUCUCGGAGUCGGAGUCUGGUUUGGCGGCGUAGAAACACUCACGUCCCUCCUCCAGCAAUCGCUAUCUGAGGGAGGUGAUCGUGUAUCGUCCAGGGCCUAGACGACGGAGGCCUCGUACCUGGGAAAGGUCCGGCUGCUCGGGCGCCGGCCGCCGCGCGCCAGAGCUACGCGGGAGGACCAUUAGUCUUUCUACGUUCAUCUAGGCGUUUGGGCAUAUCGCCCUGGCGAGCGAUGCCGCGGCGUUGUCCAAUCCGAAUGGCAGUGCCGUUCUCGGAGCGAACAACCCGUGUGGAAGUAGCCUAGCAGCGGUGGGGGAGAACGCGCGAGACGCGUCCCCUCCCGUCGUUGUGCGGUGCUGAGCCGUCGCGCUUGAUGCCCCGUCGCACGGCGCUGCCGACCUGUGGCCCGCUUCCUGCCUUGCACGAGUUGUUGGUCGUGAUGAGGCAGAGGGGCCGCGGUGAUGAUGUCCGCGCCUCUUCUUAGGCGGGGAGGCGUGGUGGUGUGGACGUCUCGGGGCUCCCGAUCGUGCUGGCGCGACGCGGGCUCCUCCUGGUCCUCUGACUGAGAGCAAGAUCAUGUCGUAACCGGAGCCCGUAGACAUGAAGUCGAGACUUCCGAACCAAAUCACCGUGGAGCGCGGAAUCGGCGAGGCGAGAGUAGCCAUCUGGAAAGGAGUGGGAAAUCGAUGAAAAACACGCAGGACCCCUACCUGGCGCGCCAACUGUCGGUGUUUUCCCCACGGGGUGUCACACCAACGAGUAAAUUUGUAUGCGUGCUCCCUUUCCCAGAUGGUGAUGCAAGAAGACACAGGGAUUUAUCCUGGUUCGGGCAAGAGAAGGCCCUACGUCCAGCGGGGGGAGGAGAGUUUGUAUUAUCUUGCACCUAAGUGCUUGUACAGGGGUGAAUACAAGCGUGGUAUGAAGUGUGGAGCUCUACUACGUAUGAGCGUGGUCUUGUGUCGUGAUGUCCCCGCUGUUCUAUUCCUGAGUCCCUCCUUUUAUAGUUCCAAGGAGAGACCCAAGGUACAUGUAUAGGCGUCAGAAUAGAAGUCGAUAGCAGUAUGGAGCGCUGACCUACUCGAGGCUUCCGUACCGGCAUGGCCUCGAGCCGUCCCGUCUUAAUAGUCUGGUGAUGAUUACGCGUGCCUCUGCAUUCUGCUCUGCGCGCCGUCUUGGAUUGGUUCGACGGGUGCACGCUUGUAUGAUCCGGCGGCAAAUCCGGCGGAGUGGUUGGGAUGUAGCCAGUCGACGCCCAACCCGUCCCCUGGAAGGAUCUCUGUCUGGUCGAGGGUCAGAUGCCGUACAUUGUGCUGAUAUCUGGAGCGCUGACUUUAGACGUCUCGAGGGGGUCCCGAUUAGACGUCCCAUCCUUGUUUCCCGCGCCCUGUCGUGCCCUGGGUCGUUCAGCGGGAAGGCUACAAAAAGAUCGUUGGGACGGAAGCCUGUUCCCUAUCACGCUUCCCGUGACCUGUGUGUUAGGUGGGGAAGCAUUAGGCGCCUUUAAUGCUCCGGCCCGCGUGCGCGCGUCAGGCGGCGGGCGGCGUCCUUGCGCUCGACGCCCCCCGGUUCGCGUGAGCCUGUUCCGUAUUCGACGGUAACCGGCGCUCGACGCCUGAUCGAUUCGCUCGACGCUAUUUCCGUCUUCGAGGUUGCGGCCGUCGAUGGCGGCGCAUACGUAAGAUUAGAGCGUCGAAUUGAGGGCCUCGACCGUCGUACGAGCAAUCUCGUAAUGCGCAUCGCUGAGGGUACCCCUUACCGAUACCCUCGACAGGUAGUAACAAGAUAACUUGAGCAUUUAUUUCACAAGGGGAAACAGAAAUAUUUUUGGUUAUUCUCUCUCGGAUUAGGAGCAGAAUAUUUUUGGGUGAUUCUGGAGAUGGAAAUGGAUGGAUAUAUGUGGAUGGUACUUCCGGAGUAGAAGUAGCAUAUAUGAGUGAACGUGCAAGUGAAAUCUUGAUUUAACCACAUGACAAGCUCCUAAGGGUCUACACAGCUUGACCACACUCAAUGCUCAUAAGCAGUAAAUAGUAAAUGUGUGGCUCAAAGUCUAGCAAGCAUGUAUAUAUGGCUGUGGUAGGAAUUUAAGCUCUCAUCAUACAGGAACUCAUCAUGCAACAUUUUAAAGAUUUUCAAAGAUAAAAUUCUCCAGAAUUCUAGCAUCUCUAGGAACAGAUAAACAGCAGCUCAACCUUCCCAUAUCGUAUCCGUUAACAACUUAGACUUCAGAUCAAGUUUUCAUCCCACAAGUUUAGGUCUAGGGCAAGCUUUAAAUUAUAACAGUUAUAUCUAAACUUGAGAGAGAACUUAAAAUUUGCAAAUUAGACAGAGCAACUAUUUAUCAUAUCCAUGCUUAAGUUUUAUUUAGAUACAGAUUAGCAUAGCCACUUAAACACACUAAGCAAAAGACAUAUAUAAGCAUAAAAUCUUUAUUUGGUUUUCCCAUAGUUUAUGUGUAUUUUAAUAUUCUAAAAUAAUAUAAGUAUAAAAAUAGAUAGAAAUACUUAUCGAGGUAAAUGGGGGUGCUCUCCCCCAAGCUGAAUUUUGACGUAAUUUCUCUUAAUGUAGCUAGCAGGUGGCAGAGGUGUAUUUGAAAGUCAGCAGUAUUCUGACAGCGAUUAGAAUGUCCUCCAUCUGCCAGUCUUCUUGAUUCUUAAAUUCUGUGGAGCUCAAAUAGACAACAUAGCUUGUGGAACUGAUUAAGUGUUAGCAUAAAUAUCUAGCCUUUAUCAUGUUGAGACUUCUUAAUAAUUGUUACUCCCUGUUUUUAUAUUUUUUUUAUUUUAUAAAGCAGAAAUGAAAUAUUUAUUUUAUUUUGAUGCCACCACAGUGAAUGUACUUAUGGGUUUUAUGCCACUCGUCCACUCACAUGGGGCUUACAGUUUUUUUCACCUUUUUAUUUUCUUUUUAGGAUAGUGCGAACAUGAUUAACUAAGUAAACUAAUUGAAAUAAUUAAAAGGAAAAGGGUAACUACCAAGUUUACCUCUUGGCAGGGCGUUCGGUGUUUUUAAGUCCUCCGAACGGGACUCUCCAAUUUCUUAAUCGUCCUGAGGUUCGUUGGGUGGCGAAGUCGGUACUUCCGGUAGCGCCUCCUCUUCAUGUAUAGUUAUCUUCAUUUUCCAUACCUGACUCGGUGCUUCAAUCUCCUCUGGAUAAUUUUGUUUAAACUCUACGUCUUCUGACCUUACAACUUCUCCUUCAUAGUCUGCCCAUCCGUCCUUGAUGAUUUGCCUCCUCUGGUUGCAGUUGCGUCUCUUUCUGACCUGCUUAGAUUCUUCAAUGAUAUAGUUAGGGUCAGUAAAAUAACGGCGUACCUUCUCUGAGGGGAAGUGCAUAUGGACUUCUCCGGUUCCAAUGUAGAUAAUUGCUUUAACGGUGCUGAGGAACGGUCUUCCAAGGAUGAUGGGUGGAUCAUACUCGUCUUCUCCCAUGUCAACAACUUGAAAGUCUGUGUAGACAAAGUGUUUAUCUAUUUUGACUGGGACAUCAGAUACUAUCCCUUGAACUUCUCGAAAUGUCUGAUCUGCCAUCUGGAGCUGAAUGUAUGUUGGUCUUAGUGGCAUGGUCCCGAACAAGAGCCGAUAAGUGACUGCGGCCAUUAUGUUGACGCCCGAUCCGGUGUCGCAAAUCGUCUUGUAGAAGUUAUAUCCAUUUAUGGAGUAGUAGAUGCUUGGCAUUCCUGGGUCAUCCUUCUUGGUCAAAAACGGUGACUUAAGUUGGUGAUCUUGGCCUCCAUGGACUACAGUGAGCAUCUUAGCUGACUCGGUCCACACUUGCUUGUUCCUGUUUCUCCUGUUGGUCCUCUUCCUUGAUUCACGUCUGGAUUGAUCUGGAAUUUGUGUAGUCUUGUUCUUGAAGAAAAAUGUCUCCUUCUUCCCUUUGACGUAGAAACUGAUCUUGGCAGCACUGGCGUAGAUGAUAGCUCCCGUGGUGUUCAAAAAUGGCCUUCCUAGGAUGAUAGGUGCUCUCUCAUCAUUUCCGGUCUCUACCACUACGAAGUCUGCUGGGGCAUACAAGGUACCAACUCGGACACAAAGGUUCCUCGCUAUUCCUUUUGGAAAAGUUAUCAUCUGAUCUGCAAACUGCAAAGACAUGGUUGUCUCUAAUAAAGGAUAUGUAAAGAGCUUCUCAUAGAGUACCCUGGGUAUAAUGUUGACGCUAGAGCCAAAGUCACAGAGUGCUUCUGGAACGUCCACCAUGCCGAUGGAGAUCGGGAUGACGGGGCGUCCUGGAUCGCCUCUCUUGACCGGCAGACGGUCAGUAGAAAAUUCAGUGACGGGGUUACUCCAAUUACCUGCAUCAAACACGUCUACAAGAUUUGCAGAUUCUAAUCCUUCCGGUUGUGAUGGUAUACCGGGGUUAGUAGUAGGAACAGCAGCAGCAAUUUGAUUUAACUGAGAUUCAAUCAUUUUAUUAAAGCUAAUUUGAUUCUUGAUGGCAGUAGAGAAAUUAUCCAUUCUAUUAUUUAUAUUUUCUAGCAUUUUAUCAUUUGAUGCCAAUUUCUUGGACAGGUUAUCCAUUAGCUUUCCUUGAUUAGACACUAACUCUCUCAAAGGUGGAAAAUUAUUAUUAUUGUUGUAAGAAUUGUUACCUUGAUAAUUACCUGAGUAGUUAGGCCUCUGUUGAUUCCAACCUUGAUUUUGUUGAGGACGGUUGUAGUAGUAGUUGUUGUUGUUGUUGAUGUAGUUCACAUCCUCAAGCAUCUCAGGGCAGUGGUUGCCUGAGUGUCCAGUGUCUCCACACUCCUCACAAGUCAUGUGAGAGUCGUAGAUGUGCAUAACUUCUUUCUUGUCUCCAGCUCUAUCAUCGAGCUUCUUCAUGAGCAGGUCUAGCUUUGCAGACAGCAUGUCUACCUCCUUCAGCUGAUGCAUACCUCCACCUCUCUUGCGUGUCUGGGUCCUCUCUUCAUUCCAGCUUUGGUUGGACGCCAUCUUCUCCACAAGAGCUGUGGCUUGUGGUAUAGUAAGUGAUAAGAAUGCUCCUCCAGCUGCAGCAUCCAUGGUCUCUCGGGCACUGUUGCUGAGCCCAUGAUAGAACGUUUGCAUCAAUAGCCAACUCUCCAUUCCAUGAUGGGGACAUUCUAGGAUGUAGUCUUGAAAGCGCUCCCAUGCUUCUGGAACAGAUUCAUCAUUUUGUUGCUGAAAACUUGUAAUCUUCCCAUGGAGAGCAUUGGUCUUGCCCAUGGGAAAGAACUUAGCCAGGAAGUUUGUUGAGCAGAGUGCCCACGUAGUAUUCUUCUCCUUUGUAGCGUAGAACCACUGCUUCGCUCUUCCUAACAGUGAGAAUGGGAAGAGGCGAAGUAGUAUAGCGUCUUUGGAAACUCCUGCUAUGGUGAAUGUGUUGCAAAUCUCCGGGAAGUGUUGUAAAUGAGCACUAGCAUCUUCGUGUGCCUUCCCACAGAACUGGUUGGAUUGCACCAUGUUGAUAAGUCCAGGCUUGAGCUCAAAGUUGCCAUCGAUCUCUGCAGCAGGUCUAGUGCGGAUGUUGUUCGUAGUGCGAGCUGAGAACUCGCGGAUCAAUUUGUUCGCCAUGGCUUCGAACUCUGAAGACAAGUUCCGGUGAUCUUCUUGAUUGGAUGAAGCUUCUUGCUGAAGUGUUGAUGAUUUCUUUAGCUUGGCUCUCAUCUUCUUGAAUAAUGCUUCAGGAUUGUCAACAAAAUUCCCUGGAAGAUGUCUUCUAUUCAUACAUUCCCCUGCAUAAGAUAAAAUAGAAAAAUAUCGGGGUAAAACUGUAUGAGAGAAUAGAUAAGCUCAAUCAUAUUAGUCAUGCGAAUGAUAACUCAAAAUCUUUUAUUCCAUUCCUGAUUGGUAAUCAACCUUCUCCGGCAACGGCGCCAAAAAUGCUUGUUGGGUAUUCUUAACAUCAUUACUAAAAGUAGACUAAGUUCUAAAUCUAGCAACGGUGCCAAAAAUGCCAAACCUAUCCCUCACACCACUUAAGCCAAGUUGUCAUCCCCAGCAUGAUAUAAGAGACGCGGUAUUGAAAUAUGCAAUUGCUCUUCUAAAUAAAUAAUGAAUUGGAUCUGCAAGCGCACAGAUUAAUACCGAUGUAGCAUUUUAACCGGGAAGUAUUCCAGGUAUCGUUAUUUAUAUUUUUACCACUGGGAAGGGAUUAGCAAUCAUCACUAAUGAUUACAGAAUAGAAUAUGAGAUUGAGCAUCUAUCAUUGCAUGUAAAAUUGAGAACAUUAUAUCUAACUCUUCAUACAGGGAUAAGUGUCACAUAAAAGAUAUAUGAAAUAAUAAUAGUGACAAGGAUAACUAAUCUGAUCUAGCCACAUAAUAAAUAUGAUAAGCACCUCAACUAGAUACUCUAGAAAGUCAUUAGAAUGGUAUUAGAACGAACUACAAGAAUAUUCCCUAAGUUAUUCUCAACUAUAUAGUCGAGCAUAUCAUAGUUAGUGCAAGCAUACUUAGCAAUCAUUGCGAGACAAGACUACGCCAAUGCAUAGUGAUAUUAGCAAGGAAUAUGAGAAACAUAGCAAUCACUCCCCUGUAAUAAUGUUGCUCUGCCAGCCCAAUACAUGAGAGGGGGACUAUAUAAGAAUCAAUGAAGCUGUCACUAUCACGAACCACCCCACGAUCUGGCAUAUUGGGUACAAUCGCAGAUAAAUACGGUAUAAGCACCACGCCUACACAAUAUCUAUCAUUUACCCAUGGAUCCGAUGGAUAAAUGCUAUACGAUCUAAGCAUGUAUAUAGAUCCAAUCUAACUAAGCCAAGUACAUAACUAUGAUAAACUAAGAACAAUAUAAUUUUGAAUAUAAGCAAGUAGAGCAAAGUCAUAAGCAAUAUAUUGAAGUAGAACAAAGUCAUAUUCAUAAUAUUGAAGAACAAAGAUAAUUAGAAAGCAAUUAGAAGCACAAUUAGAGAAUUACCAAGAAUCCUCUUGACAGAUCCGGAAACCAAUCGAAGAUUGACUCUUUCUAGUUCUAAUCCUAUGUAGCUAUGCUAAUCUAGAUAUCUAAUUGAUGUGGUGGCUCUAAUCUUGAUCAGAGGCUUCUUCUCCCUUGAUGGAACAAUGAAUUAGGGUUGAGAGGCUCUCUCCUCCAGGGGCCAGGGGGUCUGGUUUUAUAGUCCCUUCAAGUGAAUAUGGGCCCUUGGAUCAAACCGACAUAGAUUGUAUGGUUUAGAUUCAUCCUUUAGGUCGGUGGAGAUCUCCCGCAAAGCAGAGUCCUGAUUGGACUCAGGAGGUGGGCGGGCGCCCUGACCAACUGGGCGGCCGCCCAGGGUCUGGCCCCGUUUCGCCUCCGCUUCGGUCUCGUGGCUUCUGGAGUCUUCUAGAUGUAAGAUAAUUGCGCAGCACGUUAAUAUCUUUACGUAAUCCCGACAUGUGGGCCUUUCUUCCGUAUUUCCUGAUAACCCCCUGCAGAAAUAGACAAACACCAAAACUCGUGGAAUUCUGUCAGAUAAAACCCUAAGUCUAGAUCUUAAUUUCAUUUGGAUCCUUUUCUUUAUUUAUUUGAUAAUUAAAUUUGAUACUUAAGGACCGUCAACACCACAUCAUUUAGAGUGCUAAAGUGCUUAGGGUAGGGGUCGGUCGACCCCUACAUUGGCCAAUCUCUGUAAAAUAGUUCAUAUAUGUUGCAAGAUUCCCUGCCAUGAUUCAAAAUUUUGAAACAUAGUGCUUAUGGGGAGGUCGGUCGACCCCCACAUUGGGGUGUUCACCACUUGCCCUUCUUUCCCUAUAAAUACCCAUGCAUUGUGAGCUCAUUUCCACACCCAAAACCACAAAAAUUAUCUCGAGCUCACAAUCCCUCUUCUCUCUUCUUAGUUGCAUGAUAUUUCUCAAGAUUAGAAUAGUUGUCUAGAAAAAAAAAAUAUUUAGUAUUGCAUAGGAGUAGAAGUAGAAAAAGUUUGGUUGUUUGUGUUGUGUAGGAAAAUGGAGAAAACAUUCCUCUCCUGAAGUCCAAAGGGGUUGAGUGUUGUUCUCAAAGCUCUCACCACUCUAUUGAGGGAAGCCAUGACAGGAUGGAGGAAGGUGAGAGUCACCAUCAAGUGGUGCUCUAUGAACCUCCUCCAAGAGCAGUGGAGUCUGAUGAAUGAACUCAUGUUAACACCGGGAGAGCUAUCAAGUUCAACAACCUAAAGGAGAGCGGUUUCCGCCAUACAAGCAUCCUCAACCCGGCCCUUGUGGACCACACAGGUAUGACUAAAGAAUUCAAUGAUAUUUGAAUACCAUUGGUUUGGGAGGUUUUUAUUGAGUACCUUAAACUUGGUAUAGAAGUGCUCACUAAAGAAUUUUUAUGCACACUAAAAUUGACUCAUAACAUUUCGCAUGUGUGGGCAAGAGUGUAGCUGUACUUGGGGUCUUCUAACCACCGCUCUAGGUUGUGACUUUGAUUGUACAAUUGACUUAGACACUACCAUGACUGGAUUUAACAAGAGUAUUUUUUGAUGAUUGCUCUGUGGAUAUUUGGGAACGCAAUAAGGAAUUGAUCCGCAAGCGCACGGAUAUCGGUGAGCACUUCACCCGGGAGGUUAUCCAGAGUAUCGUAUUUAUUUUUUUACCACUAGGAGAAAGAGUGCAUCUGACUAACCCGGUCUAUUACUACUAACCCUUUAGGCAACAAAGAAUGUUUCUCGAUGUGAGUGAUAAAUAGAGAAGACUACAACCGUAAUCUCCUUCUAACCUUGGUAAGGAUGAUCUACUGUUCUAUUGGGGAGGCUAACGGAAUCUAGACACCACAAAGGAUGUUCAAUCCGCACCUAUAAACCCUAUCCUUCCUGCUAACGAGAUAUGGUCUGCAAAGGUAACUCGGAAAUGUCACUACAAGAAUCCUGUGAUUUUUUGACUUUCCAUUUAUGUCAUUACAUAUGAAAAUAAUGUCAUAACAUAAGAGUUGUGACAAUUAGUUGACAAAAAACUAUAUGUCAAAAAAUCACUGUCAUAAAUGGAUCAUGUGACAUCUGUAUAUUCUUUGUCAUAAGGUAUGACAUUGGUUAUUGUCAUAAUAUCUGAGACCUCGCCAUGCCAAAAAUUCUAAUUAGUGACGCGUCUAGAGGCUCAUUAGUGACGCAUAUAGCCAAACUGCGUCUCUGAUAACAGUUUGCAAAAACAAAAAAAAAAGAAAUCUAGAUCCACAGUGUACAUUUUUGAAUCCCAUGUUUCACAAUAUGAUAUAUUUCACACCAGUACACACAUAGUUCACACUUCACAGUAUAUACAGAAAGUUCUUAUGAUCAAAAUACACAACAAUGUUGAACUGUAAGUAAUUGCAUAGAGUAUCCUCCAGAACUACAAAGUAAUGGUUGCUUUAUAGAAUAAAUGUCUAUACAUAUACCUCCUAGCUACUUCCUUUCCUCUCAGCUCAAUGUAGGCCAACCGAUCCUAGGCUACAACAAAACAGCAGACAGUUAAUUAAAGAAAUAAAUGUAAGAAAGUCAUUAUGCUAAAUUGUUUUCUAUAAAACAGCAGGUCGAGGUGCAUAGCAUACAUAGUGAAUGAUCUCUAAUGGCAAAUAUACUUCCUAGUAUGUAAACAUAUUAUCAAUGAAUAUGCAAAUAUACCAUUCAUGACAACCCCGACUAUUUAUCUAUGGUUUAGUAAUUGGAAUUUUACAAGCUGAAAAAUAGACCAACAACAAAAACUAGUUAAACUAAAUUUCAACACACAAAUAAUGGAGACAAAAGGUUGGUGCCUGAAAGAAGGAACAAUGAGUAUGCCCACCCAAUUAUGUAGGUGCAUUGCAAAUCUGCAUGGUGCUUCGCCAAGCUACCAAAUAGAAAGAACAAAUUCAAUUCUACUACUCUAAUAAAAUAGCUGCUGGCGCAACGAGAAAGCCAAGGUGACGAACUGACCUUCACAAUGUCGCCAACAUUUUUACAAUCCCAGUCAGGCGAGUGCCCCCGGUCUCGGACCCUCUCCCUCCUCCUGUAUCUCUCUCCUCCUCUGCUCGCCUUGCCCCCUCUCUGGUGCGGCCGUCAGGGGAUCUGGAUGAGGUGGCGGCGCCAUCCAGAUCUGGAGCAGGGAGGCAGCGGCGCAGCGCCUGCCAUGUCUGAGUGGAGGGAGGAGGACGAUGACGGCGCCCGCUGCCCAGGCCCUCGCCAGCGCCCGCGAAUGCUCCCUCGUCGGAGCCCGCUGCCUAGACCCUCGCCGGCGCCCGCGAAUGCUCCCUCGUCGGCAUCCGCUGCCCAGGCCCUCACCGGCGCCCGCUGGACGCCCCCCUCUCCAGUAACCGCUGGAUCCGCCCCUCGCCGACGCGCACUGGACGCGCCCCUCGCCGGCGCCUGGUGGACUCGCAAAUGCAGUGGGCGUGCGGUGGCAAAGUCUAGAGUGGGCGAGCAACAAGUCCACGAGUCCACGGCCUGGCUAUGUGCCUUAGCUACUCAUAUUUGAAUAAAUAUAAUUAUAUACGCUAAUUAAGCAAAACAACUUGCCUUGCUCAGUGGUAAAUAGGUUCGAACCCUCCUUGCUACAAUAUUUUUUAUGGAAUGGCAUUUUUCUAGAAACAGAAAUCAGGUUGACAAAAAAACAGAGCAAAAAGAAAAAAAAAUCUACCAACGUGGAAUUAGACAUGCCAACAUGGACAAGAGUAUUUUAAAUAUUUAUAAAAAUAUUUUUUGGCACCCAACCUAUGUCAAUUUUUUUUGACAUUUAUAUAUUAGGCCUCAUGACAUAGUGAAUAUUGUCAUAGUAUGAAAUUAUAAUAGUUCUAUGACAUUUAUUAUGACAUCCAGCUUUUUUAUGUCACUAGGUCAAAAUGCCUAUUACUGAAUGUCAUAAUCUGGAUGAUAUAAUGACAUCAUGGUCUAUUGUCAUACUAAAUAUGUCAAAAAAUCAUGCAUUUCUUGUAGUGUGUCACGUUCCUCGCUACUACCACGGUCUAGCUAGUCAGGGAAUAUCUAUGAAUAUCCUAGCUUAAACACCACGUCUACGCUAGAGAUGAUUACUCUAAACUCUACGCGAAGAGAUUAAAGUAAACUCAUAAACCAAAAGAACAAUAAAACAAGAACUUACUAGAAGUUGAAAUACUGAAGAAUCCUAGGAGCAAGCCUCGGGUUAGCAGAACUUGAUCCCGCAGGUACAAGCUCGGAGUAGACACCGACAGGCCGGCCUUCCUCCGAUCUACACCUCCACUCUAUCUCUCUCAAUCUAGUAGAAACUAGAAGAUCUAUUUCUACUCACAUUGGUUGCUAAGCCUAAAAGAAAUUUUAUUUAGAGAAGAGGUUUUCCUUCGAGGGCUCCCCUCAACUCUAUGAUAAACUUGUCUCCUCGAGGAGCCAGGGGGUCUAGUUUUAUAGUCCCCUCAAGUGAACGUGAGCCAUUGGAUCAAACCGACAUUGAUUGGACGGUUAUCCUUGAUCCUUUAGGUCGGUGGAACGUCGUGUGCGAAAAGAAUCCUGAUUGGAGUACAGAGGGGGGCGGGCGCCCAGGUCCUCAGGGCGGGCGCCCUUGGCCUGGCCCCUUUCGGCCUCUGCUUCGUUCUUGUGGCUUCUGGAGUCUUCUAGAUGGUAGAAAAUUACGCGGUGCGUUGAUAUCUCUAUGUAAUCCAGACAUGUGGGCCUUUCUUCCUUAUUUCCUGAUAACUCCCUGCAGAAACAGAUAAACAACAAAACUCGUGGAAUUCUGUCAGAUCAAACCCUAAUUCUAGGUAUUGUUUGUAUAUUGGUCCUUUCUCUUGUUUAUUUGAUAAUUAAAAUUGAUACUUAAGAACCGUCAACAAAUACCCCCAUACUUAGGCUUUUACUCGUCCUCGAGAAAAGGAUGGUUAAGACCAAUAUCUGGGAUAAAACAUUUAAAAUAUUCUCUUCAUAACUGCAGGGUGUUAAAAUCCACUGUGAACUAUAGUCAGGGAAGUAUAUGGUUAAGAGUAGAGAUCAUUUCUUCUCAAUCCUGUUACUUGGAGUUUUUGUAUAUUUUUGAAAGAAAGUUAGCAUACCUUUUAUCCUCAUAGGUCUUCUCAGAUCACUCAUUAUCUUUUAUAUAUCUCACUGAGGCUGUUUUAAUUUGAAAAAAUUCUCAAGCAUACUUACUUUGUAUUUAUUGCCUGGUCAAAAUAGGAUCCGAGGAGGGGAAUGUCAUACUCUUAGAUCAAAGACUUUGGAAAUUAAAAAACUUGUCAACUCUUGCUGGCAUAUUGCUUAUUAGAGGGACCAUGGGCUAUCAUUUUCUUCUUUUCUCUUCUUUUUUUUAAGUGGAUACCGAGAUACCCCUAAUUCUACUGCUGGACACUAGUCCAUUUUUCUGAGAGGUUAUCGAGCACUUGCUCCUUUUUAUUUCCUCAAAAUAUCUUUAUUUUUGCAUAGCCCAUGCCUCUAAUGCAAUAAUACUUUGGAAGAGUGAAUCUUUCUGAAUAAAUGUCUUGAUCUUAGGAGCAUGAUAAAUCUCUCAACAAGGGUCUAACUCAUUUUGAACAAACUCAAUAUAGAGUAGAUAGCUUUUAUAAUCAUAACUAAUAUUUUCAGUUUUAUCAGGCAUAUAAAACACUGAGGAUGGUAGCUAGAAUUUUGAAGAUUUUGAAAUAAAUUGUCCAAGCAACAUUGAUAUCAAGAAUAAGAAACUCAUACUUUACCAUUCCACACUGACUUAAGUAACACAGGGUUUUAAAACUUUUUUCAAUAAUUGCAAGUUUCAGAAAAUAUCACAGAGUGAGAUUGAUCAUAUUUAGAAACAUAUUAAGCUUAUUAAUUUAUUAUGUCGGAAUCAGUAUUCUGCAUAAUCCAAGAUAUGUGUAUCUGUAAAGUAAAGUAUGUAGAGUGUGUACCUGAAUUGUGGAGUGGUGUAGUCGAAGUGUGUUUGGCGUGUCGAGGGAUCUCCCCCAUACUUGUUUUCUGCUUUAUUGCACAAAAAUAAAGUAGAGACACGCAAGACAUAAUAAUAAUAAUAAUACUCUUUAUUAAUCUUGAGGCAUUUAUUAGAACCGACUAGUAGCAAACUGACGAUAAUAGUAGCAAACUGACAACAAUAGUAAACCUAAACCGAAUUUAAAGAUAAAUGACUAAGAUGCAUUGCCUCAAGGUCUAAUCUAGAUAACUUAGCGGCGCUCUAAUUCCUUAAUCUUCUUAUUGGCACUGGCAAGAUCCUGCCUAAGGCCUAGUAUAACGGUGUUGUGGUUAGAGAGUUGCCUAGUGAGGGAAUUAAUCGAGGACUGGAGGUCUAUGAUAACUCUGUCUAGCCUGCGAACGUCCUCAUCAAUAUCUACUAUAGUCUUGCAACGCUUGGGAGGUGUCUCCAAAGCAUUGAGAGCAUGCUUCGGGGCUGCCUUUAGAGGGAUGAAACGGACUUUGGCUGCUCUAAUCUCUUCGAAAUAAGGUCUUUCCUCCUCUGUAGUGUAGCGUAUGCUGCUGAUCUCGCCGCUCCGAUUGGUCUCGACUCCAACGACCCUCUCAUUGGGUCUAGGUGGAAGGAUCCUCGUGCCGGUUGGCACCUUGAUGGUGGUCUUCGUCUUGGAUGAUGAUCCCUUGAGGAGUAGGGGUUGUGGCGGUGCGGUGAGAACUAGUUGAGCAUGAUAGGAUUUGGCGAAGCUACGUUGGCGUAAUGGCAUGGCUUCUAGCCGUCGCUCUGUGUUGGCCGGGACGAGAGCACGGGCGUCGGCGUCUUCCUUAGGCUUCAUGUUGAGGUUGAAGGGGACGACUUCCCAAUCGUAGUGGAACUCUUCAGGCAUUGGAGCAGCGAGGGACUAAAUAAGCUCUAAUUGAAGAAGAAGAGAAGGCUUGGGUGUUGACACUUGCUAACACCACUUGAAUACUAGGUUGUCAUCCCCAGCAUGGCACUAGAGUGUACUAUGGUAUUUAUACGCACAUAGAUAAUCCGCAAGCGCACGGAUACCGUUAUAGCUUUUACCCGGUUAAAGGUUUUAUCGUAUCCACAGGGAAACAGGAGAACCAACUACACUCUAACUUAAUCAAGAUAAGUAAAUAGGUGUAAAUAGGAAAGAUGGUAGAAUCGAAUAAUAACAAUAUUAAAGGUAAGAUAACAAUGGGUGAUAAUAUGGGAAUAGAGAGUAGAGUAAUUCUAGUAUAUGGGCGAUGGUAGCAGAAUAGAGAGGAUAACUAUGGUUUCUCUACUUCAAAGGGGUAUGUCUAUGUCUGGGACGAACCACGUGAUAAGAGUACACCACAAAGGAUGCUUAUCCUUAGGCCGAUAAACCCUACCCGUCUUGCUAACGAGAGGUGGACUACAGAGGACCAACAUAACUGUCACCUACGCAGCCUACCACAUGAUCCAGCUAGACAGGGGAUAUCCACAAGUAAUCUAGGUCUAAGCACCAUGCUUACACCUAUACUACAACUCUAACCUAUCGGGUCCUAUAGAUUAGAAGUACUCAAAAGAGUUGUGAACCAGAACAUACAUGAUUAGUAAUUGCAUAAUGAAUUAGAAGUAGAUUACUAGAGUCACGACGAAGUACAACCGAAGGAAGAACCGACAGGCCAGCCUCUCCUCUAAUCCUCCUUCACUCUCCAUCUCGCUACUAUCUAGAUCUACUCUAGUUUAGAGAAGAGAGGAGAGCUCUCAUCUCUAAACCCUAGCUUUUGCUCUGUCUAUGAAUAAUGAAUAAUGAUCAAGGGGUUGCCUCCUCCAGGGGCAAGGGGGUCUGGUUAUAUAGUCCCCUCAAGUGAAGCUGGGCCGUCAGAUCAAACCGACAUUGAUUGAACGGUUAUUCUUGAUCCUUUAGGUCGGUGGAGCAUAAUCCGUGAGGUUGAACGUGAUUGGCCACUGUAGCAGGGCGGGCGCCCUGCCCCCGAGCCCGCUCGUCCUCCCGUUCGUUCCCGUGGCUUCUGGAGUCUUCUAGAUGGUAGAAAAUUGCGCGGCACGUUAAUAUCUCUAUGUAAACCCGACGUGUGGGCCUUUCCUCCAUAUUUCCUGACAACCCCCUGCAGAAAUAGACAAACACCAAAACUCGUGGAAUUCUGUCAGAUAAAACCCUAAGUUUAGGUGUUGGUUGUAUUUGGAUCAUUUUCUUUGUUUAUUUGCUGAUUAUAUUUGGUACUUAAGGAUCGUCAACAACUCCCCCAAGCUUACCUCUUGCUCGUCCCUGAGCAAGGAUGGACUCAAGAUUUUAUUUCACAGGGAAAACAGGAAUGGGAUAAUGUAGCAAGUGGUAGUAACCAAAAUAGCUCGAGCAUUUAUUUCACAGGGAAAACAGGAAUGGGAUAAUGUUUUUGGCUAUUCUCUCCCGGAUAGGAGUAGAAUAAUUAUGGGUGAAUCUGGAGAUGGAAAUGAGUGGAUGUAUGUGGAUGCAUACUUCCGGAGUAGAAGCAGCAUGUAUGAGUGGACGUGCAAGUGAAUCUUUAUUAUAACCACAUGACAAGCUAAUAAGGGUCUACAUAGCUUGACCACACUCAAUGCUCAUAAGCAGUAAAAAGUAAAUGUAUGGUUCAUAGUCUCAUAAGCAUGUAUAUGUGGCUGUGGUAGGAUUUUAAUCUCUCAUCAUACAAGAACUCAUCAUGCAACAUUUUAAAGAUUUUCAAAGAUAAAAUUCUCCAGAAUUCUAGCAUCUCUAGGAACAGAUAAACAGCAGCUCAACCUUCCCAUAUCAUAUCCGUUAACGACUUAGACUUUAGAUCAAGUACUCUUCCCACAAGUUCAGGUUUAGAGCAAAUCUUAAUUCAUAACAGUCAUGCCUAAACUUGAGAGAGAUUUCAAUUUUGAGAACUAGUCAUGGCAGAGCAACUAUUCAUCAUUCCUAUGUGAGAGCUUAUCAUGAGGGUUCAUAGCAAACUUUAUUUAUUUAUUAAUUUAUUUAUUUUGCAAACUAAGUAUAGAUAUAUAUAUAUAAUAUAUAUAAGAAUAAAAUCUUUAUUUGGGUUUAUAUGAUUAUGCAUCUUUUUACUAUUUGAGUAAAGUAUAAAUGCGAGUAAAAACACUUAGCUGGAUAAAUGGGGGUGCUCUCCCCCAAGCUGGAUUUUGACGUAAUUUCUUCUGAUGUAGCUAGCAGGUGAUGGAGGUGUAUUUGAAUGUCGGCAGCACCUAGACAGCGAUUAGAAUGUCCUCUGUCUACUAGUCUUCUUUGAUCCUUGAAUUCUGUGGAGCUCAAAUAGACAACAAGGCUUUGUGGAACUAGUUAAGUGUUAGCAUAAAUAUCUAGCCUUUAUCAUGUUGAGCUUCCUCUAAUAAAUAUUACUCUCUUUGGUAGGAUCAUAAAUUUAUUUUUAUAUUUUCAUUUUAUAGGAUAGGAAUAUAUUUAUUUUAUUUUUACACCACCACAGUGAAUGUACUUAUGGGUUUUAUGCCACGAGCAUACUCACAUGGGGCUUACUAUUUUUAACAUCUUUUUAUUUUUUUUCAAGAUAGCAUGAAUAACUAACAAGCUAUUUAAGGAAAGUAAAUAAUUUAAGGGAAAAGGGAAUGCAGAAAAGAUAAAUAUGGAUAACUACCGAUUUUACCUUUCGGCGAGGGUUCAAUGUUUUAAGUCUUCUGAACAAGACUUCUCACUGUGUUCAUUCUUCAGGUGUGUCAUUUGAUUCAGGUGUGGACCUUGACAUCUGCACCUCUUAAUACGGUGUCACCCAUGUUCUUCGUUUGCCCAGUAGUUCGAAGUGCGGCGGUGGCAGUAUCCUGCUCAGUGUGUAUGUGCUCGUAGAUCCAGGUCCUUUACUUGGUAGAGUCUGAGAGUUAUAAAACUCCUCCAUGUUUUGCUCGAAGUGUACCUGCUCAUAGAGACAAAGCAGAGAUCUAGUGCAUGGGUCCUGUUGGUGGAAAACACCAACAGAACCAAAAGUGUAUUUGUUCUUCUCUAACCUUAAGCAUAGUGAGCAAGACAAAGUUGAUGGAUGAUAAGUUCAUGAGUGUAGUACUAAUAACAUUUGUCAGAUCAGAACGCUCAACCUUAUGGAAAGAUAAUCUAUCUAUGUAUAUGUCUUUUUCUUUAUAUCUCUCAAAGAUUGAAUGUGUAACAUUUUGGCUCAUAUGAUUAGGAGUGUGGGAUCAUGGAGGUAGUACUAGGAACAAAGACUAAAGGACUAAACAUGCUGAAUCAGUUGGGUUGGUUAAUUUGGAGUUAUAAAUCAUACAUGUUUGUCUCUUUAUUUAUGUGAACGCCAGAACCAAGGAGAAGUUUAUAAAAGUGAUAAUUAGAUAUCUUAAGAUGUUACCUUACUUGAAGAGUGAUGGUACAGUAUCACCUUGUGGAAGCUUUCCUUUCUUAGCGGUUGUUCAUCUUGGUUAUGUACUUUGUCUCCUUCCAUGGAUCAUCUCUCUAUGAUGAAUGAGCUAUGUCCUCCUUGUGUAAAUUGUUAAAAUUUAUGUGUCUCUCCCUUUGUCUUCAAUAUGAAUUUAUCUCAGGACUUCCCAAAUUGAUAUUGAAAGUUUUUCUGCACGGGUUCGUGCGACAAAAUAUACCAAUGUCUACACAAGCAGUUUUUAGUUCAAUAACCGAACUAGACUCCAUGUCUAAUCAGAAAAAGAAAGGUUGUUUAACCUAAGCACCAUGCUUAAUUUAAAAGCCAAUAGAAGUAUGUGCAAUACUUCCAAACUAACACUUACUAGGAUAAACAAAGGUACGUGAUGGCAUUUAUAGAGAUCUACUCAAAUGGAGAUGAAGUAGUGUGAUUAGUAUUUAACAAAUUGAGCGUGUCUCAAAGGUAGGGACAACCAACAUAGCAACAUGACAAAGGAUGUUUUUAUGUAAAGUACUCCCCCAAGCUUGAAUUUUGCAAAAUUCAAGUUUGGGUGAAUUUAAUUCAAUGUUGUAUGAUGAUUGGUUGGACAAACCUUGUCCUUGUUAUUCAUCCGAUCUUCUUGCUCCAAACUUGGAAAGGUUAGUGACAAGAAUACCUGAAGGAAUAUUUUCACAAUUAUCUUUAUAUGCUCAAUACACAAGGUAAUGUUGCAAAUAAUUAAAAGCUCAUAUUAUGAUCUGAUCAGUGCUUAUUUUAGGACACUAAGCUUGUCCUUGGGAAACCAUCAAUUUAUGUCGGCGAAGUGGUUUCCCUUCCAACGCUGACCUAUAUCAAGAUCAACUUAACGAGAUCUACAAUAUUUAUUAUAGACAUAUGCAUCGACAACCGUCCUUUUAAAGUUUUUAUAAAUAGAAAGGAAGAGGGGGUUGGAGACCUCAAGUGUGGUGAUGUCGGAGAGACCAAUAGAUUGGGAAGAUGUUGCAUAUAAGCAUGGAGUAAACGAAGUGGCUAUGAAAUAAAUUCCAUGCUCAUUAAUGUUAUCUUCGUCUCCAAUCUGAAUGUUCAGAAUUUCUCCUGGAUUGGUCUCACCUAUGUCCUCUUCUGUAGUUGGAUAAAUCUCAUCUUCAAAGGGAGUCAAGAACUCACCAUUUGAAAUUGAGCCAAAGUCAGAAUCCAUUAAGGCUUCUUCCUUAUCCAUCCAUUCUACACAUUCUAGCCAUUUGGAACUUGUGAACAUCGAAGGGGAGCAGAUAGAAUUUUCUAUAUGGCUUAGCUCUCCUUCACUUGAUAUAUCAUCCUCGACUUCUUCAUAAUAGGAACCAGGACAUUCUCUAAGAGAAACAUUAUUGCAAGGAUUUGAAUUAUCCUUGCUUGAAGGUCUCUUAUGGAACCAGAAGUCUAAACCAUCAGUAUCUGAAAGAUAUAAGGUCGGAAUUCCUUCCUCCCUUGGAGAAUUUUGGGGUAGUGAUGGUUUAGGAUCGAUAGCUAAAGCUUGGGAUUGAAGUGGUUGUGAUCUGGCUAUCGAAACUGCUUCUUCUUGUCUAGGAACUGGUUAUUUCUCUUUCUCAGGGAUAUAAAAGCUAGGAGACUUUCCACUCAUUAAAUCAAUCAAAUUCCAAGCUUCACUAGCAGGUAGGUGAUAGAAGGAUCCUCUAGAGGCUGUAUUCAAGGUUUGCUUAUUUUCCCCACUAAGGCCCUCAAAAAAGUGAAUUAGAAGAACUUCUUCUGAAAUAGAAAGCUUUGGGCCAGUGAGAGUAAGGUUAAUAAAGCAGUCCCAUGAUUUCCUAAGAGAUUCUUCUUCCAGUUGUCUAACAGAAAUAAUCACACGCCGAAGUUCCGCCACUUUUGAGAUUGGAAAAUAUUUAAGAAGAAAACUAUUAUAUAACUCCUUCCAAUCUCCAUGAACACUCCCUACUUUGAGUUUGUACCAAUGUCUAGCUUUUCCCGUUAAAGAGAACGGAAAGAGCUUCCAUUUAAGGGUCUCAUCGAACAUGCCUUCUAUUUGAAGGAGGUCACAGACUCGAUAAAACUCUCUUAGUUGUGUGUAUGGGUUUUCUUCACCUUCUCCUGAGAAAGGAUGUAUUAAACAAAUUCUAUGUAUUCGGGGUCUAUCUCAAAACUAGAUGCUAUGAUAGGCUUUGAAGAUUUUGGUGGUUCGAGAUGUGUGCUCGUAGGUCUAUAAAAUUCAUAGAUACACAUGUUUGAAGUCAUGAUAGACUAGAGAUCAAGGAUUAGACAAGAAGAAAGAAUAGUAGAGAUGAGGCAAAGGAUAAAAGGAAAAGUAUAUUUUUUAUUUUUUAUUUUUAUAUUUUUUAGAAAAUGAUUAAGCUAGUUCGUAGUCAACUCAGCAAACGUCUCCCCGGCAACGGCGCCAAAAAUGCUUGUUGACACUUGCUAACACCACUUGAAUACUAGGUUGUCAUCCCCAGCAUGGCACUAGAGUGUACUAUGGUAUUUAUACGCACACAGAUAAUCCGCAAGCGCACGGAUACCGUUAUAGCUUUUACACGGUUAAAGGUUUUAUCGUAUCCACAGGGAAUCGGGAGAACCAACUACGCUCUAACUUAACCAAGAUAAGGUGUAAAUAGGAAAGAUGGUAGAAUCGAAUAAGAACAAUAUUAAAGGUAAGAUAACAAUGGGUGAUAAUAUGGGAAUAGAGAGUAGAGUAAUUCUAGUAUAAGGGCGAUGGUAGCAGAAUAGAGAGGAUAACUAUGGUUUCUCUACUUCAAAGGGGUAUGUCUAUGUCUAGGACGAACCACGUGAUAAGAGUACACCACAAAGGAUGCUUAUCCUUAGGCCGAUAAACCCUACCCGUCCUGCUAACGAGAGGUGGACUACAGAGGACCAACGUAACUGUCACCUACGCGGCCUACCACACGAUCCAGCUAGACAGGGGAUAUCAACAAGUAAUCUAGGUCUAAGCACCACGCUUACACCUAGACUACAACUCUAACCUAUAGGGUCCUAUAGAUUAGAAGUACUCAAAAGAGUUGUGAACCAGAACAUACAUGAUUAGUAAUUGCAUAAUGAAUUAGAAGUAGAUUACCAGAUUCAUCCCAUGAGCAAUUUUGAUUAGAGCUUGAUCAUGACGAAGUACAACCGGAGGAAGAACCGACAGGCCGGCCUCUCCUCUAAUCCUCCUUCGCUCUCCAUCUCGCUACUAUCUAGAUCUACUCUAGUUUAGAGAAGAGAAGAGAGCUCUCAUCUCUUAACCCUAGCUUUUGCUCAGUUUAUGAAUAAUGAAUAAUGAUCAAGGGUUGCCUCCUCCAGGGGCCAGGGGGUCUGGUUAUAUAGUCCCCUCAAGUGAACCUGGGCCGUCGGAUCAAACCGACAUUGAUUGAACGGUUAUUCUUGAUCCUUUAGGUCGGUGGAGCAUAAUCCGCGAGGUUGAACAUGAUUGGCCACUGUAGCAGGGCGGGCGCCCAAGGGGGGAGGGCGGGCGACCUGCCCCCGAGCCCGCUCGGCCUCUCGUUCGUUCCCAUGGCUUCUGGAGUCUUCUAGAUGGUAGAAAAUUGCGCGGCACGUUAAUAUCUCUAUGUAAACCCGACGUGUGGGCCUUUCCUCCAUAUUUCUUGAUAACCCCCUGCAGAAAUAGACAAACACCAAAACUCGUGGAAUUCUGUCUGAUAAAACCCUAAGUUUAGAUGUUGGUUGUAUCUGGAUCCUUUUCUUUGUUUAUUUGCUGAUUAUAUUUGGUACUUAAGGACCGUCAACAGGGGGUAGCGACGUUGUGAUGGAUUCCAUGUUUUGAUAGAUAUUGCUUGAAGCGUUUAUCGUUGAAGUGUGCUCCUCCAUCACUUAUGACUACUCUGGGGACUCCAAAUCUUAGAGAUAUAAUUUCUUCAAACAUCCUCUUUGAACUGAUGUUGUCGGCAUGCUUCCAAGGUAAUGCCUCUACCCACUUGGAGACGUAGUCAACUGCCACCAAGAUGUACUCACACUUCUUUGAUGGAGGAAAUGGACCCAUAUAGUCUAUUCCCUAGACAUCAAAGAGCUCAAUCUGAAGGUUGUUGGUGAGUGGCAUUGCAUCCCUUGUAUUUAUGUUUCCGUGCCUUUGACAUGGCCCACAUCUUCUGAUAUAUUGCUUCAUGUCUUCAUACAUUGUAGGCCAGUAGAAUCCACACUGCCAGAGCUUUGAAUGUGUACAGAAUGCUCCAUAAUGACCUCCAUAUGGUGAUGAAUGACAUCUGUCGAUGAUCUUCCAUCCUUCCUCAGUGGUCACACAUCUCCUGAGUAAGCCAUCAGAGCAUACUCGGAAGAGGUAUGGCUCAUCCCAUAUAUGUGAAUGACUUUCUUGAAUAAGCUUCUUCUUGUUUGCUCCUGGCGGUACAUACCCCGAAACCAAAAAAUUAACAAUAUCUGCAAACCAGGGGUCAGACCUGUUAAUCCCGUAGAGCAUGUCGUCCCGGAGUGAAUCAUUGAUGGUGGUUUCCUGUGGACUCUUAAAAUACAUUCUAGACAAGUGAUCUGCAACAGAAUUUUCUACUCCCUUUUUAUCUUUUAUUUCUAAGUCAAAUUCUUGGAGUAAUAAGAUCCAUCUAAUCAGGCGCGGUUUAGCAUCUUUUUUAGUGAGCAAAUAUUUUAGUGCAGCAUGAUCAAUGUAAACAAUUAUUUUAGCUCCAACUAAAUAAGAUCUAAAUUUAUCAAUGGUAAAGACAACAGCCAGAAGCUCUUUUUCAGUGGUUGCAUAGUUAAGUUGAGCUCCUGUCAAAGUUUUACUGGCAUAAGCAAUUGCAUGAUGCUUCUUAUUUUUAGUUUGUCCCAAUACUGCCCCCACAGCAUAAUCACUAGCAUCACACAUAAUUUCAAAAGGCAACGACCAAUCAGGGGGUUGAAUGAUUGGUGCAGAGAUGAGUGUUGGGUAUUCUUAACAUCAUUACUAAAAGUAGACUAAGUUCUAAAUCUAGCAACGGUGCCAAAAAUGCCAAACCUAUCCCUCACACCACUUAAGCCAAGUUGUCAUCCCCAGCAUGAUAUAAGAGACGCGGUAUUGAAAUAUGCAAUUGCUCUUCUAAAUAAAUAAUGAAUUCGAUCUGCAAGCGCACAGAUUAAUACCGAUGUAGCAUUUUAACCGGGAAGUAUUCCAGGUAUCGUUAUUUAUAUUUUUACCACUGGGAAGGGAUUAGCAAUCAUCACUAAUGAUUACAGAAUAGAAUAUGAGAUUGAGCAUCUAUCAUUGCAUGUAUAAUUGAGAACAUUAUAUCUAACUCUUCAUACAGGGAUAAGUGUCACAUAAAAGAUAUAUGAAAUAAUAAUAGUGACAAGGAUAACUAAUUUGAUCUAGCCACAUAAUAAAUAUGAUAAGCACCUCAAUUAGAUACUCUAGAAAGUCAUUAGCAUGGUAUUAGAACGAACUACAAGAAUAUUCCCUAAGUUAUUCUCAACUAUAUAGUCUAGCAUAUCAUAGUUAGUGCAAGCAUACUUAGCAAUCAUUGCGAGACAAGACUACGCCCAUGCAUAGUGAUAUUAGCAAGGAAUAUGAGAAACAUAGCAAUCACUCCCCUGUAAUAAUGUUGCUCUGCCAGCCCAAUACACGAGAGGGGGACUAUAUAAGAAUCAAUGAAGCUGUCACUAUCACGAACCACCCCACGAUCUGGCAUAUUGGGUACAAUCGCAGAUAAAUACGGUAUAAGCACCACGCCUACACAAUAUCUAUCAUUUACCCAUGGAUCCGAUGGAUAAACGCUAUACGAUCCUAAGCAUGUAUAUAGAUCCAAUCUAACUAAGCCAAGUACAUAACUAUGAUAAACUAAGAACAAUAUAAUCUUGAAUAUAAGCAAGUAGAGCAAAGUCAUAAGCAAUAUAUUGAAGUAGAACAAAGUCAUAUUCAUAAUAUUGAAGAACAAAGAUAAUUAGAAAGCAAUUAGAAGCACAAUUAGACAAUUACCAAGAAUCCUCUUGACAGAUCCGGAAACCAAUCGAAGAUUGACUCCUUCUAGUUCUAAUCCUAUGUAGCUAUGCUAAUCUAGAUAUCUAAUUGAUGUGGUGGCUCUAAUCUUGAUCAGAGGCUUCUUCUCCCUUGAUGGAACAAUGAAUUAGUGUUGAGAGGCUCUCUCCUCCAGGGGCCAGGGGGUCUGGUUUUAUAGUCCGUUCAAGUGAAUAUGGGCCCUUGGAUCAAACCGACAUAGAUUGUAUGGUUUAGAUUCAUCCUUUAGGUCGGUGGAGAUCUCCCGCAAAGCAGAGUCCUGAUUGGACUCAGGAGGUGGGCGGGCGCCCUGACCAACUGGGCGGGCGCCCAGGGUCUGGCCCCGUUUCGCCUCCGCUUCGGUCUCGUGGCUUCUGGAGUCUUCUAGAUGUAAGAUAAUUGCGCAGCACGUUAAUAUCUUUACGUAAUCCCGACAUGUGGGCCUUUCUUCCGUAUUUCCUGAUAACCCCCUACAGAAAUAGACAAACACCAAAACUCGUGGAAUUCUGUCAGAUAAAACCCUAAGUCUAGAUCUUAAUUUCAUUUGGAUCCUUUUCUUUAUUUAUUUGAUAAUUAAAUUUGAUACUUAAGGACCGUCAACAAACUCCCCCAAGCUUACCUCUUGGUCGUCCCUGAGCAAGGAUAGACUCAGCUAUGGAUCAUAAGUUGUUGCAAUAUUUUUAAAAAAUAGACGGUACACAUGCUUUUAAAUAAGAUCUCAUCUCUGAGUUAGAGUAAACUAUCAAGACUUAAAGCUUACUUACUUUACCUCCACCAUGGGACUUGUAACUGUCACUUCCGUCUUGACUGGUUAAAAGAUAGAACAGUCUAGCCAAGUGCCAUGUCUCUUAUUCUUGAUCAGCUAUAGCUCUGGGGUUUUUUUGCAGAUUUUCAAAUAAAACUCAGAGAUUCCUUGUAUGAUUCUCUCAGGUCUCUCUUUGGUGGUAUUUUUGGAUCCUUACCAAGGCAUUGAUGGUAUAUGCCUUCUCUCAAGAUAUGUAGUAUUUGUGGUAUAAGUCAUAGUGACAUUGCCUUCUCUCUCACCCUACUCUAAUAAGGCUUUAAUAUCUGGAGCUCAUAGGUGGGACAUAAAGUAUACAUACUCACAAGACAUUUAUUGCAUAGUCAAACCAUGGAUCCAAAGAAACAAAUCAAUAAGCCAAAUCAAGAUGUGCAUGUGUGGCGAAUGAAUGGUGUAUGGUGAUGAUGGUGAUAACAAUGGUGAAAACAAUGGUGGUGGAAGUCUAAUUCUACUUUGCUCUUUUGAGGGGAUACAUACCUUCAUUGCUUUUGAAACUUUAUGAGGAGAAUGAGAUGCUCUUCUUUUUCUUGUCUCUCAGGUGGGUAUCUUGCACCCCUAAUUCUACUGUCGGACACUUGUCCAUUUUUACCUCUCGUCUCACUCUUUCUUUUCUUUCGAGGUUCCGAGCACUUGUUCCUUUUUAUUUCCUCGUAUAUUUUUUUAUUUUCUUCUUUUUUUUAGAGCACUCAUCUCUUGAGAUAAUAUAGCAAGUGGUAGUAACAAGAUAACUUGAGCAUUUAUUUCACAAGGGAAAACAGAAAUAUUUUUGGUUAUUCUCUCCCGGAUUAGGAGCAGAAUAUUUUUGGGUGAUUCUGGAGAUGGAAAUGGAUGGAUAUAUGUGGAUGGUACUUCCGGAGUAGAAGUAGCAUAUAUGAGUGAACGUGCAAGUGAAAUCUUGAUUUAACCACAUGACAAGCUCCUAAGGGUCUACACAGCUUGACCACACUCAAUGCUCAUAAGCAGUAAAUAGUAAAUGUGUGGCUCAAAGUCUAGCAAGCAUGUAUAUAUGGCUGUGGUAGGAAUUUAAGCUCUCAUCAUACAGGAACUCAUCAUGCAACAUUUUAAAGAUUUUCAAAGAUAAAAUUCUCCAGAAUUCUAGCAUCUCUAGGAACAGAUAAACAGCAGCUCAACCUUCCCAUAUCGUAUCCGUUAACAACUUAGACUUCAGAUCAAGUUUUCAUCCCACAAGUUUAGGUCUAGGGCAAGCUUUAAAUUAUAACAGUUAUAUCUAAACUUGAGAGAGAACUUAAAAUUUGCAAAUUAGAUAGAGCAACUAUUUAUCAUAUCCAUGAUUAAGUUUUAUUUAGAUACAGAUUAGCAUAGCCACUUAAACACACUAAGCAA